CGAACGGGUGAGUAAUGCGUGACCAACCUGCCCCAUGCUCCAGAAUAGCUCUUGGAAACGGGUGGUAAUGCUGGAUGCUCCAACUUGACGCAUGUCUUGUUGGGAAAGUGUUUAGUGGCAUGGGAUGGGGUCGCGUCCUAUCAGCUUGUAGGCGGGGUAAUGGCCCACCUAGGCUUCGACGGGUAGCCGGCCUGAGAGGGCGGACGGCCACAUUGGGACUGAGAUACGGCCCAGACUCUACGGGAGGCAGCAGAC
Molecule: ribosomal RNA, 255 nt
Filed under: uncultured Gardnerella sp.
Lineage: Bacteria; Bacillati; Actinomycetota; Actinomycetes; Bifidobacteriales; Bifidobacteriaceae
Description: partial 16S ribosomal RNA
Rfam family: Bacterial small subunit ribosomal RNA
Source: RNAcentral